GAUGAACGCUGGCGGCGUGCCUAAUACAUGCAAGUCGAGCGAACAGACGAGGAGCUUGCUCCUCUGACGUUAGCGGCGGACGGGUGAGUAACACGUGGAUAACCUACCUAUAAGACUGGGAUAACUUCGGGAAACCGGUGCUAAUACCGGAUAAUAUAUUGAACCGCAUGGUUCAAUAGUGAAAGACGGUUUUGCUGUCACUUAUAGAUGGAUCCGCGCCGCAUUAGCUAGUUGGUAAGGUAACGGCUUACCAAGGCAACGAUGCGUAGCCGACCUGAGAGGGUGAUCGGCCACACUGGAACUGAGACACGGUCCAGACUCCUACGGGAGGCAGCAGUAGGGAAUCUUCCGCAAUGGGCGAAAGCUUGACGGAGCAACGCCGCGUGAGUGAUGAAGGUCUUCGGAUCGUAAAACUCUGUUAUUAGGGAAGAACAAAUGUGUAAGUAACUAUGCACGUCUUGACGGUACCUAAUCAGAAAGCCACGGCUAACUACGU
This 496-nucleotide ribosomal RNA is filed under the name uncultured bacterium. RNAcentral's name for it is "partial 16S ribosomal RNA". It matches the Rfam family "Bacterial small subunit ribosomal RNA", at positions 28 to 506 of the family's 1533-position model. The record is from RNAcentral.